UGGCGGCGUGCYUAAUACAUGCAAGUCGAGCGGAUCUUCAUUAGCUUGCUUUUGAAGAUCAGCGGCGGACGGGUGAGUAACACGUGGGCAACCUGCCUGUAAGACUGGGAUAACUUCGGGAAACCGGAGCUAAUACCGKAUAAUCCUUUCCCUCACAUGAGGGAAAGCUKAAAGACGGUUUCGGCUGUYACUUACAGAUGGGCCCGCGGCGCAUUAGCUAGUUGGUGAGGUAACGGCUCACCAAGGCAACGAUGCGUAGCCGACCUGAGAGGGUGAUCGGCCACACUGGGACUGAGACACGGCCCAGACUCUACGGGAGGCAGCAGUAGGGAAUCUUCCGCAAUGGACGAAAGUCUGACGGAGCAACGCCGCGUGAACGAUGAAGGCUUUCGGGUCGUAAAGUUCUGUUGUCAGGGAAGAACAAGUAUCGGAGUAACUGCCGGUACCUUGACGGUACCUGACCAGAAAGCCACGGCUAACUACGUGCCAGCAGCCGCGGUAAUACGUAGGUGGCAAGCGUUGUCCGGAAUUAUUGGGCGUAAAGCGCGCGCAGGCGGUUCCUUAAGUCUGAUGUGAAAGCCCCCGGCUCAACCGGGGAGGGUCAUUGGAAACUGGGGAACUUGAGUGCAGAAGAGGAGAGCGGAAUUCCACGUGUAGCGGUGAAAUGCGUAGAGAUGUGGAGGAACACCAGUGGCGAAGGCGGCUCUCUGGUCUGUMACUGACGCUGAGGCGCGAAAGCGUGGGGMGCGAACAGGAUUAGAUACCCUGGUAGUCCACGCCGUAAACGAUGAWUGCUAAGUGUUAGAGGUUUCGCCCUUUAGUWUWCGCAAACGCGMUUAMGCACCCWCCU
Molecule: ribosomal RNA, 850 nt
Filed under: Bacillus sp. J104
Lineage: Bacteria; Bacillati; Bacillota; Bacilli; Caryophanales; Bacillaceae
Description: bacterial SSU rRNA
Rfam family: Bacterial small subunit ribosomal RNA
Source: RNAcentral